RNAcentral lists this long non-coding RNA (2836 nucleotides) under Homo sapiens (human). Its description in RNAcentral is "HSALNT0144460". The record is from RNAcentral. Lineage: Eukaryota; Metazoa; Chordata; Mammalia; Primates; Hominidae.
GGAAAUGCUUUGAAUCUUUGAUAUUGUUGUAAUAUAGUGGCAAAGAAUUUUGAAUCCCAGCUUCUGGAGCUCAUAUCUUGAUUCUGCGAGUUACUUCGCUAUGUUACUUUGGGGGAAGUUAUUAAUCUCUCUGUGCCUCAGUUUCCUCAGUCGACUAAAUUGAAAUUAUAAUAGCACCUACCUGAUAGGAUUGUUGAGACUAAAUGAGGUAACAAUUUAAAAAUAAGCUAAUACCUGAUAAUUAGUUCUAUAUAUGUACUGAUUGGUCUAAACGUUAUUUCCAUUUUCAUGUCUUUACUUAAAAUACUGAAAAUUAAUUUUUUAUAGCUUUGUUUUUCAGUUCCAUGAAAUCAGCCUGCCUUUUCUUUUUUUGGUGAUACAUCCACAUUCUGUAUAGGUGAAAAGCAAAACAAACAAGUAUAAAACGAAAAUUAUGUAAGAAGUACACACAUCCUAGCAGCUUGGCAAGUGUCUGUAUGCUCUUGCCUGUGCCUAAAUCCAGAAUUAGAAUUCAUGCUUGGUGCUCCUGUGGAAGAUGUCUAAAUGUUAUGAGAAAUACAUGAUUAAAUAAAAAUGUGAAAUGAAAGCAUGGAGACUUGUUGAAGGGGUAUCCACCAUGAUUAUAUAUGAUGGGGAGGAAAGGGAUUACUCCAUUUCUGCCCCUGCAGUCUGUAGGCAUGAUUGAUUACAUCAUUGGUCGCCGGUGAUUAACUCAGUCUCCAAGCCCUGUCGUGUCCCUGGAGGUUGGAGGGUGGCACUGAAAGCUCCAACCAUCUCAUCAUGCUUUGAUCUUUCCGAUGACCAGACCCCACCCUGAAGCUAUCUACGGGUCCCCAGCAACAUUCAUUUCGUUAUCAUACAAAUGACAUUCUUACAAUUUCAGAGAUUCCAAGGGCUUUAGGAAAUGGAGAUGAAGAGCAAAUAUAUAUUUCACAAUAUCACAAACAUACCCUUGGGAAUUAGACCUCUGAUCUAAUCUAGGCUCCCUCACUUGCCAUUUUUGUGACCUUGAACAAGUUGUUCAUCUUUUCUGGAUAGUUCUCUGUUAAAAAAAUUAAAAUAAAAAAAUGGUGGCUAUCAGGUUGUUAGGAGGACUAGAUAAGAGAACUAUGUGAAGGACCCUGCACAGUGCUAGCAACAAAGUUGUUUAGUAAGUGCUAUUUCAAUUUAUUUUGCUUCCAAGCUCAUGUGAGCUCCCUCAGUGUGUACCACCAAAUCACAUGAUGUGUAUCCCAGUCAAAUCUUAAAGGUCAUCCACCUUGAAUCUUUAAGUUAAUUAACGUGUGUUUUUAAAACUGCAUUAUAAGAACGUUAGGGUUUUUGUUUUGAUCCUAUGGAAGUUAAAUUUUUUACACAAGCAUUCAACUGUUUAGCUUCAAACUGAACAGAUAAAUAGUCUGUAUUAUUUCAUUAUGUAUUAAAAAAUGAUUAAGCCUGCCUCAGGCAGUUCAGGCAAAGCAGGUAAAAGAUUAUCAAGGAGUAACAUUAGAAAACACUAAUCAGAGUGCCUAAAAAGCUUUAUGCGGUCCAGGUUGUACAGGGAUGUUGGAACAGUAAAACAAACAAAACAUUACAAGGUAUGAAGCGUUCGAGAUAGGUAGAAUAGAGCAGGUUAUAUUAGAGAAGUCUCUUCUAAAAUUGUGUUGGCUAGCCUGGGAUUUGAACUUAUACCGUGUAUGUAUGUCCAUGUGUAACAGGUUGAACAUGCAAGAAGCAGUGUUCAUAAAAGGUGGCAAACUUGUUUUACUUGUUUCUCAGUCUUUUCAGAUCAGUACUUAUAAAACACUGAUAUUUACAGUAAAUAUCUUAUAUUAAAUAUUAGCUAACCCUAUUAAAUUGUGUGUCCUUGUGCUGCAGUCAUUUAAUGACCUCAUUCUUUGGUAAGUUGGCAUGUGAUUUGAGAUAGCUCUAAGUGCUAAUGGAUUGUUUGAAGGAGUUAAAGGCAAAACCAGGAAGAGAAAACUAUUUUUAGGAAAAAGCGAUCAUACAACAGGCCUUAAAUAGAAGAAAUGAGAUAUCUCUAUCUUUACUAUGUAACCUUUAAUUCCUUACACAUUUUGACUUCAUAUUUUUUGUAUGUAAAUGAGAAUGUUAUAGUCUUGUAAAUUCCUUUUCCUCUGUGACUACAUUCAGUUAUUUAUUUUAUUGUGUGUUUGUGCAUGUCGGUAGAGCACAGUAUUUAGUAGAAUGAGUUAUUGGUUAAACCACCUGGAUUCAUUUGUAAAAUGGGGCCACCUGUCUCUUAAAUUGUAAUGAGGAUUUGAUUAGAUAAUCUAGAUAAAUCACUUAGCACAAGAGUCUCCAGCCCCCGGACUCUUGACUGGUACUGGUCUGUGGCCUGUUAGGCACUGGGCUGCACAGCAGGAGGUGAGCAGGGAGCAAGCUAGCACUAGGGCCCAAGCUCCGCCUCCUGUCGGAUCAGUGGCAGCAUUAGAUACUCAUAGGAGCACAGACCCUGUUGUGAACUGUGCGUGUGAGGGAUCUAGGUUUCGUGCUCCUUACAAGAAUCUAAUUAAUGCCCGAUGAGUUGAGGUGGAACAGUUUCUUCCCAAAACCGUCUCAGGAAACCUGUCCCUGGUGCCAAAAUUUGGGGGACCUCUGACGUAGCACACUAUCUGGCACAUACCAAGCACUCAGAAAAUAUCCCAUUUCUCAAAACUCAGUUCCAGUGUCAAGUCUUAAUAGUAUAUUGAUCUUGGAACUCCAAGGUAGUUGGUCCUCUCUUUGUGCCAUAAAUGUGCCUUGUACUCAGUAGUGCUAAAUUGCUAUCAACUAGUGCUAAAUGUACUACUAAUUCAUCUGUGUGUCCACUUCCCUUCUUAGAUUGUGAGCCCCU